CUUGUGUAAGUUGUGGUUAUUGCCAUUGUUUAAUUUAUUUGCCUCAUUGUUGUCACUUUAAUUUAAGAUUUUUUGCUUUGUGUUUUAUUAAACCACACCAGGUAUAACAAACAUUUAUGUGUAUCUCUUAGGAGCAGUCUAGUGUGCAAUCUCUUUUUUUAUCACAUAUUUAUCCAUGACACAAAUCACUACAAAAAGAAAAAAUGGUGUUUGUUUUUAUUUUAACAUAGAAUUGACCUGGAUGAAGUGUAACCUUCCAGCUCCAAUUGUGGACAUUGUGGCUCAAUAGUAGAAGAUGAUAUGACGACUUCAACUCUGCAUCAUUUUCUAUUCUACUAAUAGUCCUUGUAACCACUGUAAUUUAAGUUGUAUUUAUAUUUCACAUUACCCCUAUUACUGGAUAUGUGGAGUAAUUCAUGCUAAGUACAGUUAAUUCACUCCUACACACAAAUCCACAACGAUGUGUAAUUGAUGUUGAAAUCCAUUUUAAAAACGCAUUAAUUGGAUGUAGAGAGGAGUGGGCAUUGAAAACCUCAUUGGGAGUUGCAGUCGAUGAGGAAUGGACAGGGCAGUAAUGGCAGUAGGGAGGAGAGGGAAUUGUCUAACAAAAUACCGGUAGUAGUAAACCAUUUCCCACUUGUGAAGUAGCAGUUCUCCUUAGAUUUCAUAGGUCUGGCAGGCUGCGGCAGUAUUGGGUCCAAACAAGAGCAAUCUGUAUGGAACAUUUCAAAAAAAUUUAAUAGAUUGUCCUGUUUAUAUCUCCAGCCCACUAGUUCUUAACCCAGUCAUCAAGGAACACCAUCUGCACUGGUUUUCUCUGUAUUUCCAUUUGGACAGAAUUUGGAAAUACUUGACGGUUGGUGUGCAUCACACAACUGUGACCAGUCAACGUGGAAGUUGGGUCCACAGACAUAUUUUUAACAGUUUAGUAGAUAUAACACAUUCAUGCAAUGUAGAAAUCCGCACAUUUAUGAAAUAAACCAGGGAAACACAUUGUUCACUUAUGAGAGACUUCAGCACAUGGAUUGCGCUUUGUGUUUCGAGUGUUCGUUUAAAGCAUGGAUGUCCAAUCUUUUGACUUCCCCAGGCCACAUUGAGCAAAUAUAAAUUGUCUUGGGCAACACAUAAAAUAUAUAAUUUAAUUUAUAUAAUAAAACUUCAAAAGCCCUUUUCUUAAGUUUGAUAUUUAAUUUGUUUAAUAUAUAACACUUAUAUUUGUUAUUACAUAUUUAAGAAUACGAAAUUAGGGAGCUAUCUACUAAACACAUAUGUGUAUACAUAUACACAUAACCACAUAUAUACACGCGCACACAUACAAUCCCAUACCUAUAUACACACAAUCAAAUACACACACAAUUAUCACAUUCAGACACAUUUAGUAAAGAAUGGCUCCACCCAGCCUCUCCACCUUGCUCUGGGAUGGCUGGAGUGGAUCAUCUCCCUGGUGGCCGAUGGGAUUACUGUGCUCUUCCUGCACAGGUCCCUUGUGCAUCCAGUAAUGAUACUGCUGCAAGAAUUAAAUCAUAUCCCAACUGCCGGCUCACUGCAGGACGCGUGAGGGAGCUGUGCAAAAAGAUCAGAGUAAGUAAUGGGCUCCCUCAGCAGCCCGGACAGCAACUAGGCCACGAGUUGGACACGCCUUUUUUUUAAGGAAUAUUUUUUAACCCCUUAAGGACACAACUUGUGAAAUAAAAGGGAAUUAUGACGGAAUAUUUCCGUCAUGUGUCCUUAAGGGGUUAAAGAAGUAUAUUGUAUAUAAAUACAUUUGCUGGCUGUUUAGUAUUCUAAGUUGAUUUACUUGUGAAAAUGUCAGAAAGAGGCAAGAGAAUCAAAAGGUUCUUGGGCGUUUCAUACAAUAAUAGAAUUUAAAUAGUGCACCUAGUAUUGCAGACGGUACAGGAAAUUAAUGGUGGAUUUCUGUGUUUACAUUUACAAAGCCACUUGGAAUAUAUUGACUCAAUGUUUUAUUUGUAAUUUAACAUUAUUGUUUAAUCAAUACUUUGUUGACCAAAGGAUAGGAAUAUAGCAGAUAAGCACAGUGGAAGGGAAGUUAAUAGAACAAUAUGUAUCAUCUGUGACACUGCAGGUGUGUUAUAAACGUGACUAAUAAUUUUCCAUUGAAACACUUGUAAUUUAUGUUUCUCUGGGAGUUUAUUCUGUUUUAAAGGGACAGUUUAGGCAUCAUAACUUUAUCUAAGUUAAGUUGUUAUAGUGCCAGGAAGUUCCUGGAGUUGGCUCAUCUUAUGGGGUUAAACCAUUUAUGAAACUGGCUUGGAAAAGGUACAUUUCUUUUCAAGCCAGUUUAAUGAAUGGGGGUUCACUGAUUGACUGAGAGAGUCAGCUGACUGCUCUCAGCCCAUCAGCGGCACAGACUUUAGGGUUAAAUUGUUCAAAAACUAUUUAAGCUGAGCCAGUGCCAGGGAUCUCCCAGCACAAUAACAAAUACAUUUCAACGCAUGGAGUGUCCCUUUAUUGAUGUAAAGGCAAAUGAGAAAGGCAUAGGCUGAUUUUGUAAAAAGUUUUUAAAAACUUAUUUUUUUUUAAUUACAUUUGUAAAUUAGACAAGGAUAUGUACAAAAACAGGCAUGGCUGGGAUAUACUAGGAAACAGUAUAUGAUGGUAAUAUCAUUAUGAUAUCAUAAACACAGCAUGUCUGUUCCUUGCAGUCAUAUUGCACUCCCCACCCAUUCAUAAAGCAACCAUGCUUCCCUUUUUGCUGUAAUCAAUGCCACCAGGUUCUCCUCUGUUUCCAGCCAUCCAUCUGGUUACAGCUAUGUUCUCCAUCGGCAGCCAUCCAUGGCCUUGAGGAUUUUGUUCACAUUACUUUCUAGACAUCUAUGCCCAUGCAGCCAUGUUCUCCUUCCCCAAUCAUUCAUGCCCAAUACAACUAACCCCACUUUAAGAUGCAUUUUUUAAUGAAAUUAGUAAAUUGAUGAUUUUAUUUGGUUUCAUUUAGUGUUUAAUGAUUAUAGACAAACCAUUUUGUAUAAUGUGAAUCCAUGCCAGGAUUUAUCAGGGACAAAAUAUGCCAAUUGAUUUGGGUAUAAAUAACCCUUGGAAGGCUCUAUAUCCUUGAUAUAGUCUGUGACCAUAGACAAAAUGUGUAGACUUUCGAAUUCUAUUUCCCCAGGAACCGGUUAGUGUGCACUGUACCCUUAAGGAAGCCGCUGUGUUUGAUUACCCAGUGUUGGAAUACUGCCCCCACACGUAUAAUCUCUAUCCUGACUGGCGGUAGCUGCCAGCAGGGCGGUGGUGAGUUGGAGUGGUCAGCCAGUUUUUGUGUCUGGCACACUGAGGCUUCUCUCUUCCAGCUAAUUGCAGCAUCUUGGACUUUCAACCCCCAUCUGGCUUUGGUCCUUUAUCCUUUACAUCGAGGAGAGGCCAAUACCAGAGUAAGAGAACAUCUUCCAGCAAUUGUUCUUUGUUAACGAGAUUUUUCACAUGUGACUAUUUUAUUUUGCAGAAGAGAAAAAAGGCAACAUCUAAAGCACAAAACGUAUCUUCAGUCUUAGAGACACACACACAUAUAAAUAUAUAUAUAUAUAAUGUGCUUCACUAAUAUUAGCACCUUGGCAAAUAUAAGGAAAGAAGGCUGAAAAUUUGUCUGUCUUUAACCUUUUGUUAAAAAAAAAAAAAAAAAAUACUCUGCUCUCAUGGAUAUCAAACAAUUGCAAGCACAACACAUCUUUGUUAAAUAUAGGUGUGGUGCAAUUAUUGGCACCCUUAUACAUUUAUAUGAGAAAAAUAUAUUUGAAAUAUAUUCCUUUUGAUAUUUUCAUUUUUUUUAGUACACCUGCGUGACUUGGAACAGGAACUUGUUCAACCAUGACUUCCUGUUUCACAGGGGUAUAACUAUGAGGUAACUUAUAGGCCUAAUUAGUCAUUCAUCACAAUGGGCAAGACCAAGGAAUAUAGUUGUGAUGUGCGGCAAAAGGUUGUUGAGCUUCAAAAAGAGGGAAGUGGCUAUAAGAAAAUAUGAAAAGCAUUGAAAAUGCCCAUUUCCACCAUCAGGGCAAUAUUUAAGACUUUCCAGUAAACUGGAAAUAUGCAUCAAACCUGGAAGAGGAUGUGUGUCUAUAUGUUCAUUCAUGCAUUGUAAAGAGGAUGGUUUGAGUGGCCCAAAAAAUUAAAAGAAUCACGUCUUCAGAAUUGCAGCAGUUAGUUGAGUGUUGGAGUCAGAAAGUCUCCAAAGCUACAAUUCAUCACCACAAGUUGGACUCUAUCAAAUAUCUAUAGAUAUUAAAUGAACACCUAACUGCCUCUGCCAGAGAGCUUACAGUGGGCUGUGCCUGGAUCUUCCAGCAGGACAAUGAUCCAAAACAUUUAUCAAAAUAAACAUAAAAAUGGUUUACUGGCCACAAAUAGAAGAUAUUGCAAUGGCCAUCCCAGUCCCCUGACGUGGGCCUUACAGAAAACCUCUGGGGUGAACUGAAGAGGAGAGCCCACCAGCAUUGACCUCGAAAUUUAAAGGAUCUGAAAAGAUUCUGUACGGAGGAAUGGCCUCAGAUCCCUUGCCAUGAGGUUCUACCUCCCAACAACACACGGUGCAAUAUACUAAUUGGACCCCAACUAGGAAGCAGAAAAAGAGAUGAAACUGGUAAGAGAGGAACCGGGACCAUCGUCUACAGAGUUUUAUCACACUCAGCCAACCAGAUACACAACACAAUUAUCGAACACAUAUCAUACACUCUCAGAGAAGCUCGGUGAUAUAUUUAUGUUCAGAUUUUAAGUCUUAUUGCUAUGGAGCUUUGAGAAACAAAUACUGUAAAUUUCUUAUAGGUUUAAUGCUAUAAUGUAAUACAAUCCUACACUCUGCUCAUACUGUAAGGUUUAUUGCUGUGGAGCUCUGUAAAACACAAAUUCACACUGCACAUUACUGUGAGUUUUGUUAAACUUUUCAACUAAUUAAAAGUGAUGGGCAUGAUUUGGAUUCCCUUACACGUUUCAGUUGCUCUUCGAUGGUUAUCUUGAGACCUUUGCUGCUUACCAAUGACUGGCAAAUACUGAAUGUGUGUGGGUAAAUCUGACCCGGUGUGGAACACAGACUGAGAGGUCACAUGAGAAGAAAGUUGUUCUAACAUGUAUAUAAGAACAGUAGUUCCUUUUUUUUUUUUUUUAGUCUGUCUGCUGUGACUUGGCAGACCCUACCCAAUUGUAUAUGGAUAAUGGCCAGGAAAAUAAAUAUUACAUUUUCUCUAAAAUAAACUAUAUACACACCCAACAAAGUUUGAUGUACUUCCUGAUGACAUGUACAAUAAUUUUAUUAUUGGAGAAAAUUGCUUAGAAAGGAGGGGGCCAAAAGUGAUGGGCUUAAGGAGCUCUGACAUCAUUGGUCUUUGUUUAGGAACUUGAAGGAAGAGGAAGUAUUUACAAUUGAGGGAGAUGGGGCACUGGAAGCAGGCAUUUUCCAAACCCUGUUAAAUUGUAACACAGCUAAUUUUUGUUUUUAAAUGCCAAAUCCCGUAAAAUGCAUAAAUGUUGUGUUGGUUUCUGGAGUGUCCUUUAUACACUAACACACUUUACAGUCCAAAUCCUGUGG
RNAcentral lists this long non-coding RNA (5539 nucleotides) under Pelobates cultripes (western spadefoot toad). The record is from RNAcentral. Lineage: Eukaryota; Metazoa; Chordata; Amphibia; Anura; Pelobatidae.